GGGGAGUGCCGGAUCUUGGGCUGUGUCCCCUGGCGCCUUGGGCUCCGGGGCCUGCGCUGCUGGAAUCGCACUCCCGGGGAGCUCCAG
This 87-nucleotide microRNA precursor is filed under the name Canis lupus familiaris (dog). RNAcentral describes it as "mir-8799 microRNA precursor family". It matches the Rfam family "mir-8799 microRNA precursor family". Lineage: Eukaryota; Metazoa; Chordata; Mammalia; Carnivora; Canidae. The record is from Rfam by way of RNAcentral.